This 465-nucleotide ribosomal RNA is filed under the name uncultured bacterium. RNAcentral describes it as "bacterial SSU rRNA". It matches the Rfam family "Bacterial small subunit ribosomal RNA", at positions 338 to 795 of the family's 1533-position model. The record is from RNAcentral.
CCUACGGGAGGCACCAGUGGGGAACAUUGCACAAUGGGCGCAAGCCUGAUGCAGCCAUGCCGCGUGUAUGAAGAAGGCCUUCGGGUUGUAAAGUACUUUCAGCGGGGAGGAAGGUGUUGUGGUUAAUAACCACAGCAAUUGACGUUACCCGCAGAAGAAGCACCGGCUAACUCCGUGCCAGCAGCCGCGGUAAUACGGAGGGUGCAAGCGUUAAUCGGAAUUACUGGGCGUAAAGCGCACGCAGGCGGUCUGUCAAGUCAGAUGUGAAAUCCCCGGGCUCAACCUGGGAACUGCAUUUGAAACUGGCAGGCUAGAGUCUUGUAGAGGGGGGUAGGAUUCCAGGUGUAGCGGUGAAAUGCGUAGAGAUCUGGAGGAAUACCGGUGGCGAAGGCGGCCCCCUGGACAAAGACUGACGCUCAGGUGCGAAAGCGUGGGGAGCAAACAGGAUUAGAUACCCCUGUAGUC